UGUGUUGUAACACUGAGACACAACAUAUUAGCUUUUCUGCUUCGUUUUUGCUCCUCUUGCUUCUUCGCGUCUCUCUUUUCUUCUCUUCCUCCUUGGCUGCUCCAUUUGUUAUUAUCCAUGAAGUGUUGUAUGUAGAUGUACCACACAAUUGAGAGUGUUGAAGUUCACAGAAGAAUCCGCAACCUCUCGGCAAGAAGAGAUCAGAUUCCGACAUAAUCGCCGUUUCAGGUGUAAUUUCAAAUCUCUCCUCUUUAUGCAUUUUGUCUGUAACCCAGUUCUCACUUCAGCUGACAUUUACAUGCAAGAUGUUUGGUCAUGAUGGAGAUCACUCGAUUUGACUCAUGUAUUUAGGAAGUGUAAAGUCAAGGGAAAUUCUAGAGCACCAAUACAGACACCAGCAACUUUGAUGUUCAUGGAUUGGUACAUUCCUAUUACUUUUAUCGACUUUCUGAUGUUAUGUUCUUGGUUCUGCUUUAAUCUUUUAGUUUAGUCAACUUUACUUUCGAACCUUGAAAGGUUGUGGCCAUAUAAGUGCAUUAUGACUGUAUGUAGAAUUCCAUGGAAGGUUCUCGAAUAAAGCUGGCUCUUCCUAUCAUAUUAUUCUUUUACCUAUCUUAUUAUUUGAGUUGAUAUAGUAAGAGUUUUGAUUUCAUACUUUUAAUAUUAGCACAAGCAUUUCAGCUACUUUGGCUAAUGACUGAUUUUCAUGCUCCCUUGAACUCUUUAUUCUGGGAUGUUGAUUUGCAAAAUUAGAAAACAAUUGCACUGCUUUUUAGCUGCAACAUCCAAUUAUUUACUGCCUCUUCACACAUAAAGAUUGUUUCACUGGUUGGUCUAUGCAUAUUGGGAGAUUCAUUUUUCCCGGUCUGCAAAGGUACAGAAAAUAUCUUAGUGACAACAAGAUUAGUGCAUGUAGUAUUGCCUUAGUAAACUGCCCUAGGAUCUUUUGACUGUUGGGACAUACAUGUUUCUCGGUUAACUCGAUCUGUGGCACAUUUUCUAUUAUGAUAUCUAUUAGCACAAAUGAAGAAUAAAGGGAGAAUAUGAAUCUCU
Molecule: long non-coding RNA, 1053 nt
Organism: Nicotiana attenuata
Lineage: Eukaryota; Viridiplantae; Streptophyta; Magnoliopsida; Solanales; Solanaceae
Exons: 4
Source: RefSeq, a predicted model, not a curated record